This 538-nucleotide ribosomal RNA is filed under the name Parvimonas sp. oral clone 12-7. RNAcentral's name for it is "bacterial SSU rRNA". It matches the Rfam family "Bacterial small subunit ribosomal RNA", at positions 8 to 521 of the family's 1533-position model. The record is from RNAcentral. Lineage: Bacteria; Bacillati; Bacillota; Tissierellia; Tissierellales; Peptoniphilaceae.
AGAGUUUGAUCAUGGCUCAGGACGAACGCUGGCGGCGUGCUUAACACAUGCAAGUCGAACGUGAUUUUUGUGGAAAUUCUUUCGGGAAUGGAAAUGAAAUGAAAGUGGCGAACGGGUGAGUAACACGUGAGCAACCUACCUUACACAGGGGGAUAGCCGUUGGAAACGACGAUUAAUACCGCAUGAGACCACAGAAUCGCAUGAUAUAGGGGUCAAAGAUUUAUCGGUGUAAGAAGGGCUCGCGUCUGAUUAGCUAGUUGGAAGGGUAAAGGCCUACCAAGGCGACGAUCAGUAGCCGGUCUGAGAGGAUGAACGGCCACAUUGGAACUGAGACACGGCCCAGACUCCUACGGGAGGCAGCAGUGGGGAAUCUUCCGCAAUGGACGAAAGUCUGACGGAGCAACGCCGCGUGAGUGAUGACGGCCUCCGGGUUGUAAAGCUCUGUUAAUCGGGACGAAAGGCCUUCUUGCGAAUAGUGAGAAGGAUUGACGGUACCGGAAUAGAAAGCCACGGCUAACUACGUGCCAGCAGCCGCGGU